UGCUGCUUCGCUGACGAGUGGCGGACGGGUGAGUAAUGUCUGGGAAACUGCCUGAUGGAGGGGGAUAACUACUGGAAACGGUGGCUAAUACCGCAUAACGUCGCAAGACCAAAGAGGGGGACCUUCGGGCCUCUUGCCAUCAGAUGUGCCCAGAUGGGAUUAGCUAGUUGGUGAGGUAACGGCUCACCAAGGCGACGAUCCCUAGCUGGUCUGAGAGGAUGACCAGCCACACUGGAACUGAGACACGGUCCAGACUCCUACGGGAGGCAGCAGUGGGGAAUAUUGCACAAUGGGCGCAAGCCUGAUGCAGCCAUGCCGCGUGUAUGAAGAAGGCCUUCGGGUUGUAAAGUACUUUCAGCGGGGAGGAAGGUGUUGUGGUUAAUAACCACAGCAAUUGACGUUACCCGCAGAAGAAGCACCGGCUAACUCCGUGCCAGCAGCCGCGGUAAUACGGAGGGUGCAAGCGUUAAUCGGAAUUACUGGGCGUAAAGCGCACGCAGGCGGUCUGUCAAGUCGGAUGUGAAAUCCCCGGGCUCAACCUGGGAACUGCAUUCGAAACUGGCAGGCUUGAGUCUUGUAGAGGGGGGUAGAAUUCCAGGUGUAGCGGUGAAAUGCGUAGAGAUCUGGAGGAAUACCGGUGGCGAAGGCGGCCCCCUGGACAAAGACUGACGCUCAGGUGCGAAAGCGUGGGGAGCAAACAGGAUUAGAUACCCUGGUAGUCCACGCCGUAAACGAUGUCUACUUGGAGGUUGUGCCCUUGAGGCGUGGCUUCCGGAGCUAACGCGUUAAGUAGACCGCCUGGGGAGUACGGCCGCAAGGUUAAAACUCAAAUGAAUUGACGGGGGCCCGCACAAGCGGUGGAGCAUGUGGUUUAAUUCGAUGCAACGCGAAGAACCUUACCUGGUCUUGACAUCCACAGAACUUUCCAGAGAUGGAUUGGUGCCUUCGGGAACUGUGAGACAGGUGCUGCAUGGCUGUCGUCAGCUCGUGUUGUGAAAUGUUGGGUUAAGUCCCGCAACGAGCGCAAC
RNAcentral lists this ribosomal RNA (1028 nucleotides) under Salmonella enterica subsp. enterica serovar Newport. Its description in RNAcentral is "bacterial SSU rRNA". It matches the Rfam family "Bacterial small subunit ribosomal RNA", at positions 78 to 1102 of the family's 1533-position model. The record is from RNAcentral. Lineage: Bacteria; Pseudomonadati; Pseudomonadota; Gammaproteobacteria; Enterobacterales; Enterobacteriaceae.